Molecule: long non-coding RNA, 496 nt
Filed under: Lepisosteus oculatus (spotted gar)
Lineage: Eukaryota; Metazoa; Chordata; Actinopteri; Semionotiformes; Lepisosteidae
Description: lncRNA (ENSLOCG00000022216.1)
Source: RNAcentral
CCCAGUCAUAUACAGUAUCUGAUCACAGAGAAGUUCUGUAUUUAUCUUCAUGGACAAGCUUAGCUACAGCUGGCCUUAAAGAAACUGUGGGAUAUAAAGAGGCAAAGAUGUAAAGGAGAGGAAAGCUUCCUGCCCUUUGGUUUGGCAUGGAAGCAACAAUCAUGCAUUCAACAAUCAUUGUGUGAUGGGAUUGGGCAAAUUAAUCUUUCACCUAAAGGAGCAUCUAUGCCAAUCUCCAAGAAAACACACCCUACGUUUGGGAAAAACUGCACUUCUAAAUUAACCUAUGUUGUUUUAGGCUACUCUUGUGUAUAAUUAUGGGAUACCACAAGGCUAUUCAAUUUAACAAUUCCCUGCCUUCAAAUUCAUAGGAAAUCUGGAAAAAUGAAAAGCUGGCAUCUUUUUUCUCCAUGAGGUUCAUUCACCGACAUAGAAGAAACUAAACUGAACCACUUUAACCUGUCUUAUACAAAUAUUUUGGUUUAAGGGAUUUUGG